This 69-nucleotide transfer RNA is filed under the name Ictidomys tridecemlineatus (thirteen-lined ground squirrel). RNAcentral describes it as "Spermophilus tridecemlineatus (thirteen-lined ground squirrel) tRNA". It matches the Rfam family "tRNA". Rfam says of the family: Transfer RNA (tRNA) molecules are approximately 80 nucleotides in length. Their secondary structure includes four short double-helical elements and three loops (D, anti-codon, and T loops). Further hydrogen bonds mediate the characteristic L-shaped molecular structure. tRNAs have two regions of fundamental functional importance: the anti-codon, which is responsible for specific mRNA codon recognition, and the 3' end, to which the tRNAs corresponding amino acid is attached (by aminoacyl-tRNA synthetases). tRNAs cope with the degeneracy of the genetic code in two manners: having more than one tRNA (with a specific anti-codon) for a particular amino acid; and 'wobble' base-pairing, i.e. permitting non-standard base-pairing at the 3rd anti-codon position. Lineage: Eukaryota; Metazoa; Chordata; Mammalia; Rodentia; Sciuridae. The record is from Rfam by way of RNAcentral.
GGGGCUGUAGCUCAUUGGUAGAGCACUUGCCUAGUGUGUGUGAGGCACUGAGUUCGAUCCUCAGCACCA